CCUACGGGAGGCAGCAGUGAGGAAUAUUGGUCAAUGGGCGCGAGCCUGAACCAGCCAAGUCGCGUGAGGGAAGACGGCCCUACGGGUUGUAAACCUCUUUUGCCGGGGAGCAACGGGCGCCACGUGUGGCGCCACUGAGAGUACCCGGUGAAAAAGCAUCGGCUAACUCCGUGCCAGCAGCCGCGGUAUUAAGGAGGAUGCGAGCGUUAUCCGGAUUUAUUGGGUUUAAGGGGUGCGUAGGCGGAGCGUAAAGUCAUUGGGAAAAUUGUGGGGCUCAACCCGUUCCCGCCGUUGAAACUGGCGCUCUUGAGUGGAAGAGAAGUAUGCGGAAUGCGUGGUGUAGCGGUGAAAUGCAUAGAUAUCACGCAGAACCCCGAUUGCGAAGGCAGCAUGCCGGCUUCCUACUGACGCUGAGGCACGAAAGCGUGGGGAUCGAACAGGAUUAGAUACCCGUGUAGUC
This 460-nucleotide ribosomal RNA is filed under the name uncultured bacterium. RNAcentral describes it as "partial 16S ribosomal RNA". It matches the Rfam family "Bacterial small subunit ribosomal RNA", at positions 338 to 795 of the family's 1533-position model. The record is from RNAcentral.